AAAUAUCCUAAAGUCUUCCUUUCAGCAUGACAAUUUCUUUUCCCAAUUCAUUUGGCUGUAUAUUAUUCUAGUGUCUUGCUACUAAAAGCAGAGAUCAUUGACAGUAUUUGUUGGGACAGAUUUUAUCAGAAAAGCAGCGAAUUGAAGCAUCGCAUAGUCCGCCUACCGAGGACACUAUGCCUCCACCACCAUCGUAUGAGGAUCUCGGCCGUAGCUUUGCUUCUGAAACCUGUGAUGAAUUGACAGAGUUGAGGGACUCUUCUCUUUCUUAGGAGAGGUAUCUUUAUGCUAUUGUUGUUGUAUCCAAGUUUUAGUCUGUUCGACUCUUUAGUUUCUAGUAACUGUUUCUUUUCGCCUACCGCAGGUUAUUUACACCUUCCACGCUGUAACUGAUGUGGAGUUAAGUUUGUCAUUCGGGAAUUACGUUGUCGUCCGGAAGGUUCUGUCGUCUUUCCUGCUUGCAUGCUUUCAUCUUAUAUUCAUGUUCGGAUUUAUUUCUUUCGUAUUGAGGUUAAAUUUUCAUGUUCAAAGACGUUCACUCAGGUAUGUUCGUCAAUGCAUAGGCAUUAGCACACCACCGAGUGCAUUAGAAUAUGGAUUUCAGUUUUGGGUGCUGCAUGCAUUAAUGUAGUUUGUCUGGUUUUGGUUAUUGCUGCCGCUGAGCAUGAGUGGCUUUCUGUAGUUGCUGAGAGUUAUAUUGUGAGCAUAAUUCAUACAGCAGCUUUCAUAUACGGCACAUGUAGUCGGCAGCACUGCAUUUAGAAAGAGAAAGUUAUAUUUUCUUCACUGUUUAUUGAAAACUUAUAUGUUGCAUGUUCUGACUUUUAAAGUGAGUCGGCAUCAGAGUUUUUAUUUGAGAAAAAUCAGUUUUGUGUCCAUGUGUUUUCAAAGAAAAUAUUUUAGUUUUUAAUCACUGAUUUUUCAUUGUGCUUCAAUUAGAAAUCAAUUAUGAGAAUGUGCCUUGUGAUUUUCGUAAUUGGUUGAUUUCAAAAAAUCUUUACAUUUCAUACAUUCUGCAUGAUCACAUUAGGAUCUUGCAAAGUUCAAGGACACAGUGAUUGACUGUCGCGUUAGUGUCGUGCCACUUUCACUUGAAAGCUGAAGAGAGAUCGAGUAGCAAAGCUCAAUGAAAAAAAUUGCCUACUAGUAUGUGGGUCUAGUUAAUGAGUUUUGUAAGUCUUUCUAUACUCAUUUGUCCUGGCUUAAGAGUUUGAGGAUUUUCUCAGUGAUGAGUUUUACCUUGUUAAAUCCUACAUCAUGUGUACACAUGUUAUUUGUCUUUUUAAUUGCAAAUGUGUAGGAUAAUCUUUCACUUAUUUUCUUGUAGUGAACUCUAUCUUAGACAUUCAUCAACAUUUAGAGUUUACGACAGAGGACUUUGCUACCAUAUUAUCAGUGCAUUGAUUAAUUUGUAAAGCGCCCAUUUAUCCUAAUUAUAAAAUAUAUCCUAAUUAUAAAAUAUAAUCUGUACAAGACAUUAACAGUUUGGAUGUCAUGUAUGGCCACAUCCUUUAUUUUCAGAAUAAUGCUAUUCAUACCAUGUUUUUAUAUCAUAUUUAUAUACCACUUUAAGUGGCAUCUGAUGUAAACAACCACAUCAUUUGAAAAAUUUGCAAAACCCAAGGAAAGGAAAGAGAAAGACUCUUUGUAUACCAUAAUCGUCAUUUAAUUAACUAAUUUUUCUUAAUUAUUAGUUUAUUAAAUAAUGAACUAAAUUUAAAAAUCUGAUUAAUUCAAAUUAUGUGUCAGUUCACAUCACAUCAAAUGCCACCGAAAAUGGUAUGAAAAUGUUGUAUAAAAAUAUGGUAUGAAUAACAUUACUCUUAUUUCCACCAUUCUUAUCAACUGGAUGGGGAUAGAUUGUCUUUAUCUCACAAACCCAUAAUGUGGCAAUCGUCCAUUAGAAAGGUAAUGUACGUUUUGAAAAUCGUGGUAAAUAUUGAAUGAGUAAUGACGCCUCUAAAAAUAAAAUUUAGUUAUUUGAAAGAAUCUUUCAUAAAAUAAAGUAACGAAUAAUCAACAAAAGUAGCAGUACACCAAGUUGAAUCCUUUUCAACGUUGAAAUGAAAUAUGAAAGUAGAUCAAGUUUAUAUUAUUCAUCUACUUUUUAUUUUAUUUUAAUAAACGAUAUUAUCUACACUAAAGAGAUAGAGUUGGUUAAGCCUCACAAUGGACUAGCAAUAAUAUGGUUCAAAUUCACAUUUGACGAGAAUCAAACCAAGUGAAGAGAAAUAUCAUUAGACCGUAACAUUAUUCAUCAACUUUUAAAUUCAUCCACUUUUAAAUAAUAAACAAUCAAGAAAAACAUUGCACGCGGUCCCCUCUCGUCACUUACCACUAGUGCCAUCACUUACCUGAGCAAAAGAGAUAUUUCUAAUUGCUUGACCCAAACAAGCAUUGAGUUCAUCCAUCAAUAACAGGUCCACAUCUCAACCCAAAUAUAAUAACGUCAAAGGAGAGGGGAAAAUGAGAAGGAAACUCUGGAGGGUAGAGGGAAGGAAAAGGAGAAAAGGACAAAGGAGAAAAGGACAAAGGGAGAAGGGAAAAGUAGAAAGGGAAGGAGGACCACAGUAGAAAAUAUCGAUAAUAUCGGUGAAAUAUCGCCGAUAUUAUCGUUUUUUUGGGACCCCGAUAUUUUAGUAACUAUCCAACUUGUUUUCGGCAGAAUAUCGCGAUAUUAUCGAUAAUAUCGAUAAUAUCGCGAUAUUUUCGAAACUAUCGCGAUAUUUGGUAUGGACUCAUCGGAGAACACGGCCGGAGCAAAUAAUCCGAAACCCUAAAUCCCCAAAUGCUAAAUCAAAGCAAAUGAACUGAAUCUACAAUACAGGAUUCCGAGAAGAACGAUUUCAGUACAAAAUUCAACAUGUUUACAAGCCGAGAAGAACGAUUUCAGUACAAAAUUCAAAGCAAAUGAACCGAUUCCCUAAAUCCCCAAAUUCGGAUUCAAAGCAACUGAACUAAAUCCCUAAUUCCUAAAUCCCUAAAAUCUAUUUCAGUACAAAAAUCAAGCAACAUGCAGAUAAAUCGCAAUCUGUACAAAAAUAGAAACCCUAAUUCCUAAAUCCCUAAAAUCAAUUUCAGUACAACAAAGGUGCAACAUGCAGAAAAAUUGAAAUCUGUACAAAAAUUUAAAGUAAUAGAGGGGAAGAAGAGAAGUAGGAGCCUGGAACAUCGUCUUCCUCACGAAUCCAAGACGGCUGGGACAAGUUCGUGCUCCUCAGUGGUGUCGACGGCUUGGACUACGGAGACAGAGGGAGACACGGAGACACGGACGGUUAUGGAGUGGUGUCGACGGCUGGGUUUAGGGCGGGUGAGAUAGGAGGAGCAGAGGGAGACAGGGAGACACGGAGACACGGACGAGGAGGAUCGAGAUUUGAGAGAUGAUGUCUCUGUGUGUGUGUGGAAGAACUGGAGAAGGGGGAAGGGAGGGAGAAGACUGAGAACUUCUCGGUGAGAACGAAGGCUCAGACCGACCUCAGAGAGAAAAGAGAGAAGAGAGAGACUGAGAGGAUUCGAGAAUAUGGUAGUGGAGUGGGAAAUGAAAGAUCGAGAGAGAGACCUCCGUGUGUGGUGUACGUGUGUGGUGUGCGUGUGUGGUGUGGUGGGGGGGUCUCGAAGUGUGUGUGUGGUGGAGUGUGAGUUCUUCAGUCUUUUUGACUGUCUGAGUGAUGGUGUCUAAGAAAAAAAAAGCAUCCAAUGCUCCAAAUUAUUCAAAACCAAAUCAUUCCAAACCUAUGUCUACCUCUCUGAUCCAAUGAUCCAAAGAACUUUUUUGCAAUUUCAGAACAUGCACAACAAAUACUACUGCUUUAAUAAUGAAAGCGUGUGACAGUCUUUCACAUGCAAAACAGUGUCAAUGUCUGUUAUAUACUUACAUUCUUUCAUCAUCAGAGGCAUUCACCGAAUUUUAACUUACAUUCUUCUUCCCAUACCAUUUUCAAAACCAUUCCAGAUCCUUUCCAAAGCCAAGCAACACAAAGGCUUCCAUAUUUAAGGUAAGUUUACAAACUUAAAUUUAUAUUAUUGUAAUUUAUAUACAAAAACAAAUAAAUUUGUGUGCACUCGUAUGUUAAUUUUUUUAAGUAAUUACUUGCAUGUUAAUUAUGUUAAUUUUUGUAAGUAAUUAAGUAAUGUUAAUAUUAAUUGUUUUAAGUAAUUAAGUAAUGUUGUAUAAUUAUUCCCUAGGAUAAUUUUAAUAUGUUUAAUAUUAUUUAUUAUUUUAUUUCUCUUACCAUCUUCAUUAUCAAAUUGGAUUAUUAUUCAUUAAUAUUAGGUUUUUUUAUUAUCAAAUUGGAUUAUUAUUCUUUAAUAUUAGAUUUUUUUAUUAUCAAAUUGGAUUAUUAUUCUUUUAUAUUAGGUUUUUUUAUUAUCAAAUUGGAUUAUUAUUCUUUUAUAUUAGGAAUUUUUUUAUCAAAUUGGUGGAUUAUUCAUUAAAUUUGAUUAUUAUCAAAUUGGAUUAUUAUUCAUCACCAUGUUUUAUAUUAGGAUAAUUUUUUUAUCAAAUUGGUGGAUUAUUCAUUAAAUUGGAUUAUUAUCAAAUUUGGAAUAUUAUUCAUCACCAUGUUUUAUAUUAGGAUAAUUUUUUUAUCAAAUUGGAUUAUUUCAUUAAAUUGGAUUAUUAUCAAAUUGGAUUAUUAUUCAUCACCAUGUUUUAUAUUAGGAUAAUUUUUUUUAUCAAAUUGGUGGAUUAUUCAUUAAAUUGGAUUAUUAUCAAAUUGGAUUAUUAUUCAUCACCAUGUUUUAUAUUAGGAUAAUUUUUUUAUCAAAUUGGUGGAUUAUUCAUUAAAUUGGAUUAUUAUCAAAUUGGAUUAUUAUUUAUCAAAUUGGAUUAUUAUUCAUCACCAUGUUUUAAUUUAGGAUAAUUUUUUUAUCAAAUUGGUGGAUUAUUCAUUAAAUUGGAUUAUUAUCAAAUUGGAUUAUUAUUCAUCACCAUGUUUUAUAUUAGGAUUUUUUUUUAUCAAAUUGGAUUAUUAUUCAUUAAAUUGAAUUAUUAUCAAAUUGGAUUAUUAUUCAUUAAUAUUAGGUUUUAUUAUUCCAUAUUAUUUGUAUAAUUACUUAACUUUUUACAAUCAUUUUCUUUACUUUGUAUUUAAUUCUUCUGUAGAAUAACUUUAUUAUUUAGGUUCUCUUAUUUUUAUCAAAAAAUAAUUGUCUAAUUUUAAUGAAAAAUAAAUAUAGGUACAUUUAAUGUUAUAACCCUUACCCAAAAAAUAACCUAGUUUACUUUGGGCCAGGCUAAUCCCUUUGUGUUUUAAUGUAAGGCCCGAGUUUUUCUUUAAUUUUCUUAAGCCCAAGGUUUAUUCAACCCGUGAACCUCAUCUCCUUCCUCUCUCUUUUCUGAAAAGUCAUCUCUCUCUUUCUUUGUUUCUUCCCUCUCUCUCUCUAACUCUCACUCUCUAAAACCCGAGAGAAGAGAGCUCUCACCCUCCCACUUACCUUCACCACCAAGCCCUAUUUUCUACAUAUUCGGAGUCUGUGGGAUGCAAGGAUCACGAUGGUGGUCUUGCAUGUGAUAUCACUGCAGUGAGGACCUCGGCACCAUUAAAGUUGAGAGCUCCAUAGCUCUCAAAGCUUGAACCCAGGUGAACUAUGCCUUCUUCUCUAAAUUUCUGGGUUUAUGAAUGAUAUUUUAAUCUAUGUGAUUAUUAAGUUUAUCCCGUUAUUUCAAGAUUAAGGACGAAACCAUCGUGGGGGAAAGCUCACCCAAACUUUCCGGCGAACCCGUGACUCUCGAGGGAUUUUCCGAGCACACCGGGCCGUGUCACGGUGAAGCAAGGGUACAUUAAUACUCCUCUCUCUCCCCACUUCAUUUUGUUAUGUAGUUUGGACCUUGAGAUGCUCGUUCGUCGUCGACCGGAGCUAUAAUAGCUCCGGUGUUCUUCCCCGGUCAGCUCGCAAGCCUUCAGGCCGUUUAGGACACCCACGGGCCUUAGGCCCAUAUUGGUUCAGCCCUUUUUGCGUAUGGGUGGGUGUAAAUGUGCGAAUGUAUGCUGUGUGUGUGUAUGCAUGUUCGUGCGUAUGUAUGUGCAGUGUGGGUUCGGUGUGUGUCUGUGCGUGUUUGUCCAUGUGAGUGUGUGCGUUUGGUAAGUGUGCAGGCCGUGCAUGUGUGGGUGUAUGUGUAGUGCAUAUGUGCAGUGUGUGAAUAUGUAUAUGUGUGUGUGUGUGCUGGUGCGUAAGUAUAUGUAUGUGUGUGUGUUUAUAUAUAUAUAUAUAUAUGCAUUUGUGGGUGCAGCGCAUGCUAAUGCAUGCUGUGUGUGUUUAUAUAUGUAUCUAUAUAUAUAUAUAUAUAUAUAUAUAUAUGCAAGAGUGUGUGUGUGCAGUGCAUGCUUUGCAUGUAUGUGUGUGUGGGUGAGUAUGGGUUGGGCUCAAGCCCAAACCACCUUUUGAUCCUUACCUAUCCAAAUCCAAGGUCCAUUUCCAUUUCCUAGAAUUAUAUUGUUGGGUAGUUUGAUUAACUGUACGUUCUUGUACUUAGGGACACUUAUCGCGACGUUUCUGUCUUCGCUAGUGGCGCAGCUUUUGACGGAGUAUCUGUGAGUGGACCACCUUCGAAAAUUGCAUGUUUUAUUGAUAGAAUUGCAUAAUUUAAUAGCAUGCCUUACAGAAUUAUUUGAUUUGAGGAUUGAUGAAAUUAUGCUACGAAGUUGUAUUUUAGAGAUGAAUUAUGUUUUGUGCGUACCUAGUGAACACUAUGCCGCCUGGGGCGAGGAUCUGGUGUUGGCAUUGAGGCCGGGAGAAAUAAUCCCUAGCGAAAGGCUGAGGGACACGGAGACAGGCAUUGGGCCGGGAGGGAGAUAUCUCUGGCUACGGGCACAGAGACUGAGGUGCAGGCAUUGGGCCGGGAGUAUUGUUAUUCAGUGCACUCACUAGCAGCACAACUUAUGUUAUGCUUCCUGAUACGAUUUCUGAUAUGAUUUCUGAUAUGAUUUUAUGAGAUUGAUUUGCAGAGAGAUAUAUGAAUUGUUUUUAUGGCAUGCUAGUGGUUUUGAGAAACCUAUCACUUAUUAUUUAGUAGUUUUCAUUAUCUUAACUGUGGGGGUUAGUAUGUUCAUAACUAUUUUUGUACUACGUAUGUAUAUAAACUUGGUCCACUCACCCUUGUUUUGCGCCCCCAUUCAGGACUUAGGAUGAAGGCACAUAACCCCGGCAACAAGGUACUUCCGCAGCGGCAUCUUCGAGUCCUCUCGGGGUAGGACCCACUCAUUUGUUCAUUCAAUCUUAUCUUAAUUCUUAUUAGUGACUAGGUUUAGUUAUAUGCUCUGAACACGUUCCUAAAUUGUUAAUUCAUUGUUUUUAAAUUCAUAACCUGUAUUUAUUUCUUAUUCUUAGCUUUUGUAUCAAUUAAUGGCUUUCGUCACCCCCGGGUGUCGGCCAGCACGUGUCGGUCCUGGUAUUCGGGGAAUAUCAGGGUCGGGGCGUGUCAUUUAAGAUGUCAAGUAAACGUGAUCCAGCUUGGGAACAUGGAGACCCAAUAGACGGAAACAAACAUGGCACAAUUUGCAAAUAUUGUGGUCGGGUAAUGAAGAGUGGCGGAGUGACACGACUGAAGUAUCAUCUUAGUGGAUUAGAUCCAUCAAAAAAUGUCCAACGAUGCGAUAAUGUCCCCCCAGAAGUGAAGGCAUUCAUCAGCACAUUAUUAAAAAAUAAAAAACAGCAGAAGGAAAAGAUGACACAAGGAAUGGAAAAUAUUCGAGCUGAGCUACGGGGAGAAGUCUAUGGCCAAGCGGUUGACAGUGAUGAUGAUGACGAUGAGGACGAAUGUGAUGAUGACAUGGGACCUGAAGAACGACGCAGUUUGAAACAAGCAUUACGUGCCUCCAAACAGUCAGCAUGGGAAAGAGAACACCUUCAUAAAAUUCCUAAUAGGGGACAAGGUUCCGGGACAAGUGGUGGUGCACAAAUGAGACGGGGAGGCAGUCUUAGAGAAUCACAACCAACACCACCAAUAGCCCCAAGUUUAUAUAAGUCAUCCAACGCACGUCAAAAGAGUGUUUGGAGUUAUUUCAAGGGAGGUAAUGUGAAGGAGGGAAUGGGGCGUCUAAUUAGCAAGUUCUUUAUCUAUGAAAAUGUCCCUGCUGCGAAGGCUUCAUCACAUCAUUUCAAAAAUAUGGUAGUGGGAUGUCAACAGGCCGGUGUUGGAGUACAACCUCCCACUCCCUAUGAGAUAAGAAACAAAUAUUUGGAUAUGGAGUAUAAAGACAUUGGCGAGUAUGUUAACAAGUUGAGGUCAAAGUGGGAAACUAAUGGUUGCACAAUCAUGUGUGACGGAUGGACCGGCCCCCGACCAGAUUAUCUAUCAUCAACUUCAUGGUAUAUUCCAAGGGCAAGACAAUUUUUUUGAAGUCUGUUGAUGCUUCAGACCAUAUAAAGAAUUACAAAUAUAUUUACAAAUUAUUGAGGGAUGUAAUCAUGGAGGUGGGAGAGCAUAAUGUUGUCCAAGUCGUGACCGACAACGGUUCUGCAUUUGUCAAAGCUGGAAAAAAGUUAAUGAAGCAUCAUAAUGUGUUUUGGACAUCAUGUGCAACACAUUGUAUUGAUCUUAUGUUUGAGGCAAUGGGGAAGAGAGAGAAUGUUGCUACUGUGGUCAAAAGAGCUAGAACGAUCACUAAUUUAUAUUUACAAUCACGGUUGGUUGUUGGCAAAGAUGCGUGAAUUUUGCAGAGGAGAAAUUAUUCGUCCAGCUACCACUCGAUUCGCCACCAACUAUAUUGCAUUAAACAGCCUACUCAAGAAGAAAGCAGGGUUGAAGCAACUAUUCACCAGUGAUGAUUAGGCCAACCACAAUUUUAGCCGCUCAAAUACAGGUCGUUUGGUGGAAAGUAUAGUGCUUGAUCAUGCUUUUUGGAGUCAAACAGAACAUGUGUGUCAAGUGUUUGAACCUCUUUACAAAGUUUUACGGAUCGUUGACACAGAAGUGUAUCCCUACUAUGGGGGCUGUAUAUGAGUUGAUGCGUGUAGUGAAGGAUGAAUUGGAAAGAAAACAUGGUGCAAGGUGGGUCGUAAAAAUAAUUGAAGACCGAUGGUAUAAAACAUUAUACCACGAUUUGCAUGCAGCAGGUAUAAAUUAUGUCAUAAUUUGCAAUUCAUUUCUUUAGUUGCAUAAAUAUUAUUUAUCUUAUUAGAGUAUGUGUUUCUUUGAAACAGCAUAUUAUUUGAAUCCCCGAUACCAAUACAGACCCGGUGUUGGAGAUGAUGGUACCCUUAUACGUGCUGUACAUAAUGUAUACUCUAAAUUAGACCCUGCAUCACCAGCAGUUGGCCAAUUUGGAAAUGAGGUACACAAUUACUUAAAUUAUAAUAAUUACUUUGUUGGAUUAAACUAACACAAUUUAUUGUAUUCAGCUAACAUGGUUUAAAGAUGCAAGAAGAACAUUUGGAGAACCAACAUCAGUUGCUGCUCGAACAAAUAUGUCUCCUAGUGAGUAUAAACAUAUUUCACUAUAAGUUUUAUAAUAGAAUUUUUGUUGGAGUUAUUAGGCUUAUCAACAUUAUUUUUCAUUGUAGCUGAAUGGUGGAUCAUGUAUGGGACCGAUGCACCAACUGUGAGAAAGUUAGCAAUAAAAGUAUUAUCACAAACAGCUUCCUCAUCAGCUUGUGAAAGAAAUUGGAGCACAUUUGCACUCAUCCAUACAAAGCAAAGAAAUAAGUUGGCUCAUAGUAGCUUGGAAAAAUUAGUUUAUUGCUACUACAACAUGAAGCUUCAAAUUCGAGAUAAGGAAGCAAGAAUCGAUCAUGUCGACCGUGGUGACCCACUAGAUGUGUUUGAUAUUGUUGGUGAAGAUGAUGAUAUGGAGGGUAACCAACUUUUUCAAUGGAUUAGACCUCUUCAUUUAGAUGAUGAUGAAGGCAACCCAGCUCCCAGAGUUGCUGAAGAAGCACGUAAUGAAGGGAUAAAUGUAGAAAGAGUAUUAGAGGAGGAGGUGGGAUCUAGCAGCGCUGACUCUUUCGAAGAACUUUUGCACCCAAUGCCAAGCAACACUGGAAUUCCACCUUUUUCUAAUCCUACACAACCACAACAUCGUGCUGAUACUAAUGAUAGCUCUAGUACAAGAUCAGGAGACUCACCUACCACCGGAGGUGGGAAUGAUGAAGGAAAUAGUGGAGCUGGAGGUAGUGGAGCUGGAGGUAGUGGUGGUGGAUAUGGAAACUAUUAUGGACCACCACCUCCCGGAUAUAUGAGCCCCUUCACUGGUGAGGCAAACUUCACGCAUGCAACACAAGAUGAUGACCAUGGCAGUAGGCGGGCAAGACCAGGAAUUGGUGCCAUAGGGAAGGACUAUACUCGCAGAGAAAGAGGCAAAGGGAUUUUGUCAAGUCAAGAAGAUGACUCGUUAUCUAGAACUUCAGACUCUUUUGGAUUGGGAAGUAGUAACUAUGGUUAUACUCAUAACCAACCAUUUCCCUACCCUUCAUAUCCCAUUCCUGUUGGGAUGGAAUCGAGCGACUCAUGGAAUCAAUCCCAGCCUCAAUCUUCAAAUGAUUUUUCUUAUGGACAACCUCAACCAAUCUCGGAUCCAUAUGGGUGGCAUAUUAACAAUUACAUGCAAAACUAUUUUGGGGAUUUAUCAUUUGAUAACUACUCUUCACAAUACACUCAUUCUACACAUAGAGAUGAUGAAGAUAGUGACAAAUUUGAACCUCAUAGGAACUCUAUGUGGUACUAAAGUGUAAAAUAUUGUACUAAUUCAUUAUAUAUAAAUGAUUAUGGUGUGUUUAGACUUCUUUCAUUAAUUACUACAUAUUUUCUACACUCAUAAUGUUUGUCAGAUCGCUAUAUAAUCAACUUGAUAAUGUUAAAUCCAUCAUGCAAUGCAUUUCCUUCCAAUUUUUUGUGAUAAACUAAUAGAUAAUUGACUAAAUAAACAUCCUACAAAGUUUCAAUACAAAUUUCCAAGUUUUUCUUACAAUUUCCGUGGUUUCCAUGUAAUUUUUAUCGAUAUCGAUAUUUUACCGAUAUUUCCAUCGAUAUUUCCGUGUUUUCGGACUACCGAUAUUUCCGAUAUCACCGAUAUUUUCUUCCUUGAGGAGGACAAUGAGAGGAAAUUUCGGAGAAUAGAGAAAAGGAGAAGGGAAAAGUAGAAAAGGAGAAGAGAAGGGAUAAGGGGAAGGAAGCUUAGGAGGGUAGGCAGACGAAAAGAGGGAAAUGCAUAAAAAUAAAAAAUAAAAAAGGAAAGUUGACUUCAUCAUUAUGUCUCCUAGCGGAAAGGAGCAAUCACAUUGUAAAUUAUAUUUCGUAUAAUGAGAAAUUAGUAUUCCUACUCGAGGAUAUAGACACAACUUGUCGAAUCUCGUUACUAUACAGCAAGUCUAUAAUUGCACAACAAUUUGAUUAACCACCUUAAGUUCAUCCAUAUGUACUAAGAUUCAAGUUUUUCCAAACUUUCCUUAUGAAACUAACUGAACAUUACAAGUGCCUCAUUAUUAUGCGGUUCGAUCAAGUUUUAAUUUUUGUCUCAUAACCACAUUAUCUUUAGGACAAUAAUCUUGUGGUUGAAUAUAAAAACCUUCGACAUGGUGAUCAAUGGCGGAGCCAAGUUAAGGGCUGCCCUGGGCUGCAGCCUAGGUAGCUUGUGGUGAAAAAUAAAAUUUUACAUGUAAAUUAGAUUGAUUUUCGAAUGUAGUCCACCAAAUAUUUAGUCGCUAAUUCAAAUUCUCUAGGUUUAACUAUAUAAAAUUAUAUAAUACACUUUGCAAACCAUCUCUUUUUCUUACAUUAUUUUUCUCAUCGCUUCUUGUACAUGUACAAAUUUGGAUUUGUUUAAUUUUAACACGUUUUUGGCUCACCUUGUGAAUUUUUUUAAGCUAACUGAUACUAUAAGAAAUAGGGUAUCAAGUUUCUUUAUUUAAAAAGAUUUAAAAUUUUAAACUAGCCCACCCGGUAAAACAUUCCUAACUCCGCUAUUGAUGGUGAUAUUGGAAACACUAGUUGGUGGGUUGAUUGGUAGAAAUGGUUCCAACAAUUUAAAGAUGAGAAAUGAGUAUUGAGCAAUGAUCAAAAUGUGUUGUACUUUAUCAGAAAAGAUCUUUGUGCAAUCAAAAGUGCAUUUUAUCACAAAAAGGUAACAACGAUCAAUAUAAUUGUUAUUUAUAAAAUCACACAUAAAAUAAGAAGUAAUCUUUUCUUUUUCUUUUCAUCUCUGCCACUAUGGGCCGACCAUGACUUAAAGAAACGCUUUUUGGGUCAAUGGAUGGGAACGACCCAUUUUAUAAUAUUGUUUGUAAAUUUUUCUGGAAGUAGAUGGAAAUGACCGAAGUACAUAUUUCCCCUGCUCACAGACAUUUGCAUUGCACCUAGCAAACACCAGUUUUUUUGUUUGAACAUCGAUCCACAUCAACGUUUAAUUCAAGAUAAAGAAAGGUAAUCGCAACACGACGGCGGCGACGUGGCGGUCAUUUAACGGAAAAUAACAGACAAAUCAGCCUCCAGAUCAAGUCUUGAAGCACAACUCUGAAAAAUCGAGACUACCUACAUCUGAGCUCCGACCAACCGCUGAUGGAGGCAAUCAGGAAGCUCAGAGAUCAGGUCGCCAAGCAACAGCAGGUACUCUCUCUCUCUUGUUUGAUUCCGAAUUUGUAUUUCUCAAUGGAAUUUUAUAUGAACAUAAUCUGCGUUGAUUGCGAGAUACUGAGAUUGCUUAAUGAAAUAAUAUUUAUAUAAUUGUUCGAGUUGAAUUGGAUCGAUUCGAAUUCGAAUAGAAUUUCACUAUUUCUGAGCUGUGUUGGAGUGCAGUGUUGCCGAAUUUCUGAAAUUUUGAGCUAGGUGUUGCUAAUUACUUAUCCAUUUUUGGAUUUAAUUGGAUGCUUAAUUUUUACAUUUUCGGAAAACUUCAAGCAAAAAUGGUAUAUGAUUUUUAUCAUAAAAAGAGUUAGUCGAAGCUUUAUCGAGUUUGCUUUUGAUUAUUUUAUCAUAAAAAGAUGAGCAACGAUCUAUAUAAUUUUUCUGGAAGUUGAUGGAAAUGACCCAAUUACAUAUUUCCCCUCCUCACAGACAUUUGCAUUGCACCUAGCAAACACCAGUUUUUUUGUUUGAACAUCGAUCCACAUCAAUGGCUCUUGUGAGAACAUCUCCAGGAACCUCCUCUGAUUCCAACACUUUUCGGAGUUCUCGCUACGACGUGUUCUUGAGCUUCAGAGGGGAAGAAACUCGCAAGACUUUUACCGACCACCUCUACACAGCCUUGAACAACGCAGGAUUUCUUACGUUCCGAGACGACGAUGAACUUGAGAGAGGAGAAGAUAUAAAGCCAGGACUGCAGAAAGCGAUCCAGCAGUCACGAACUUCUGUUGUCGUGUUUUCGAAAGAUUACGCGUCAUCCAGUUGGUGUCUUGAUGAGCUUGUGCUGAUCCUUGAACGCAAGAGGACCACCUCGGACCAUGUAGUUUUACCAGUCUUCUACGAUGUCGAUCCGUCCCACGUGAGGAAGCAGACAGGAAGUGUUGGAAAAGCAUUUGCUAGAAGCCAGAAAAAUCAGUCGCCGGAAAAGGUGCAGGGAUGGAGGAAGGCACUUGCAGAGAUUGCAGACCUAGCAGGCAUGGUCUUACAAAAUCAAGCUGAUGGGUAACUUUCAUUAUCUCCAUUUCUCAUCUCUUUCCUGGGUGAAUUUGAUGUAUGAUCCGUAGUGACCUAGAUUUUUAUAUGUUUAUUAAUUCAAUCUCAGUAGUGAAUAAUAAUCUCAAUUUAGGUCAACUUAAAGAAAUCACACUCAACUCAACUUAAGGAUUAGUCAUUUUCCAUGUUAAUCUACUGGUUUCAGUUGCUUAAAUUUUUUUGAAAGCUGGUGUGGAAAAAAGUUAGGAUGUGAUAUGUCAUGUAUUUGUCUAUAGUUCGUAUAAAUUAUGCGCACUAUUCCUUUCUUUUUUUUCAAUUUAAUUUUGUCAGCAGUCCUUUUUUUUUUCUUAUUUAAAUAAAGGCAAUCAACAUAUGUUUGAAGGGAAUUUUAACGAAAAACCACAUUUUUACACUAAAAAGUCAAUCCUGAUACUAUUCACUUUACCCUUUAUUUUGUAAUUAUCUAAUUUUCCCAAUUCAUUUUUUGUUUUGUUUGCAAAUUCUUAGGUACGAGUCAACGUUUAUCAAAAACAUUAUUAAAGUGAUAGGAGACAAGUUAAGUCGCACGCCAUUGAGUGUUGAACCAAAAUUGAUUGGAAUUCAAUCUCAAGCCGAACACAUCAAUUUGUGGUUCCAAGAUGGAUCAAGUGAUGUUGGUAUAUUUGUUGUGUAUGGCAUGUCUGGAAUCGGGAAGACAACCAUUGCAAAACAUGUUUACAAUUCAAACUUUGGAAGCUUUCAAGGAAGUAGUUUCAUUGAAAAUAUCAAGGAAACAGCAGAUCGACCAAAUGGCUUAGUUCAAAUACAAAUGCAACUUCUUUGUGAUAUUUUGAACGGCAGAGAAGUGAAAAUACACAGUGUUAGUGAGGGAAUAAUUAAGAUUGAAAGGGCCAUAAGCUCUAAAAGAGUUCUACUUGUUCUUGAUGAUGUUGACCAUAUGGACCAAUUAGAUGCAAUCCUAACGAUGAAAGAUCAGUUUUAUCCUGGAAGUAAGAUACUAAUAACAACUAGGUGUGAAAGGUUGUUAAAGGCAGAUCAAGUUACCGAGGUGCACAGAGUUCAAACUUUGGAUGACAAUGAAUCAUUAAAGCUUUUCAGUUGGCAUGCUUUUGGCCAGGACCAUCCCAUAGAAGAAUACAUGGAGCACUCAAAACAGCUAGUGCAACAUAGCGGCGGACUUCCAUUAGCUCUAAAAGUUUUGGGUUCUUCUUUAUCAGGAGGACGUAUAGGUGUAUGGGAAAGUGCAUUGGAGAAGCUAAAAGUUAUUCCUGAUGGUGAAAUCAUGAGUAAACUAAGAAUAAGCUAUGAAAGUUUAAAAGAUGACCAUGACCGGAAAUUAUUCCUCCACAUUGCUUGUUUCCUAAUAGGAAGGAACAAAAGUUACAUUGUUAGAAUAUUCGAUGGAUGUGAUUUCUAUACAAUCAUUGGCAUUCAAAAUCUCAUUGAUAGAUGCUUGGUGACACUUGAUGAAUACGGCAAGGUGAACAUGCAUGACUUGAUUCGUGCUAUGGGAAGAGAAAUUGUUCGCCAAGAAUCAGAAGAGCCUGAGAAACGUAGUAGAUUAUGGCGCCAUAAGGAUUCUUUCCAAGUAUUGAGGAAAAAGAAUGUAAGAAACAUGUCUUUUAUGUCUAUAUAUGUAUUUCUUCUUGUGAAAAUUACGCAUAUUAAUGUCUCUAUUGUUUCCUUUAGGGUACAAAAAAAAUCCAAGGUCUUUUCCUGGAUAUGCGUAACCAUCCUGCAAACAAUCCAAUAAACACAAAUGAGAUAGUCUUGGAAACCAAUGCAUUUGCAAGGAUGCGCAAUUUACAACUACUCCAUCUUAGUCAUGUACGAUUGGAUGGAUGUUAUGUAGAUUUCCCUACAGGAUUAAGAUGGUUGUGUUGGCUUGAAUUUCCUUUGGAUUCUAUACCAAUUGAUUUUCCUUUGGAGAACGUAAUUGUUCUUGAAAUGCAAUACAGUAGCUUGAGACAAGUAUGCAAAGGAACAAAAGUAUGUUACUCUAUGCAUUUCAAUUCAUUUUCCUUAUUUUGUUAGUUUUUUAUUUGUGGACUAACUCCAUGUGUUAAAAUGAACUAUUAUGUUUUCUUUAAUUCGAUAACUAAUUUCUUAUGUUAGACACUUAUUUCAUUGUUCUUUUUUUUUCUUUUUUCUUUUUCCUUUGUUUCCACAGUUUCUUCCAUCGUUGAAGAUCCUUGACGUCAGCCAUUCUCAUGGCCUUAGUGAAACCAUUGACUUCUCACUUUCCCCCAAUCUAGAGGAACUGAUUCUUGUAGAUUGCACAAGCCUGAAGAAUGUUCAUGAAUCCAUUGGAAACCUGGAGAGACUCGUGUACUUGAAUUUGAAGGAUUGCAAGAAUCUUAGGAUGCUUCCGAAGAACAUGUGCAUGCUUAAAUCACUUGAAACACUCAUUUUAUCUGGUUGCUUAAAUCUUGAUGAGUUUCCAGUGGAGAUGAUGAAGAAGUUGGAGUCUCUGAAAGUUCUUGAGACGGAUGGAAUUCCAAUAGGUGAAUUGUGGCCAAAAAGAAGUUCAACUAUCUUGAGUUCUUUUCCGUGCUCUUUGGUAGAGUUAAGUCUGAAGGGGUGCAAUCUUUCUGAUGAUGUCUUUUCUACGGAUUUAAGUGCUCUAUCCUACUUGCGAAGACUACAUUUGGAUGCGAAUCCAAUUUGCAGUCUGCCAGUUUUCAUCAAAGGUUUGAGGAGGAUCGAUGAACUCUCUUUCAAGGGUUGUGAUAGGCUCGAAUCGUUUGUGGGGUUGCCGGAAGUACACCAAAGGCUAAGUAUAAAAGAAUGCAUAUCAUUAAAAAAAAUAACUUUUCAUUCCCCUGGGCAACAUUAUCUAACACGUGUAUUUUGCAAUGAGAACCGGAAUCUUGUUGAGUGUGAGUGCUAUUACAAGUUAGAGCCUAUUGAUAGAGUUGAUGUGGAAAUGAUCAAACUUUUGGGCUUGUGCAACUUGGAAUCCAUGCCAGCUGUUCGAAUGCGUCAUCCACUCACAAACAGGGAUCCAAAAGAGGUCCCCGUCCAGGUGCGCCUCUCUUUCUCUCUCUCUCGUAAGUCUUAAAUAUAUAAUGGGAAAGAAAUGACUGAGUAAUGUUGUGAUGACUGUGGCAAAUACAUAGGGACUGUAUCAACAUGGUAUAUUCAGCACCUUUUUUGUUGGGAAUGAGGUUCCAGGCCUGUUCAGCUAUAAAAGUACCAAGUCUUCGAUAUCUUUUAUUGUCCCUUUACUACUUGCUAGUCACAGAAUUCGAGGCUUGAACAUCUUUGCUACCUAUGCAAAGGAAAAUUCAAAUAAUUAUUCUACUAGAAGUGUUAUUAGUCCAAUAAUGAUCAAAGUGAGAAACAAGAGUAAGGGUCUGAAGUGGAUCUAUAACCCAGAGUUCUACGGAAUUCCAAGUGACGUAGAAGAUAUGAUAUGGUUGAGCCAUUGGAAGAUGGAGAAUAAAACAAUAUUACAAUGUGGAGAUGAAGUGGUGGUUUCGGUAAUAACCGGACCACGUGACAUGUUUUGGGUAAAGGAGUUUGGUGUCGAGCUUGUGCAAGAGCACCAAGACAAGAUGAGUACCCAACACAACACCAAAUCCGAUCCUAAUUAUCCAUUUGUUAUCGGUGGAGAUUUGAAGAUGUUUGAGCGCAGACCGGGAAUAUACUUCCUUGGCGAUUAUGUUAUAGAAGAUAUUGAUGACAUUGAUAUCCUCACCAUGGACUCUGAUGAAGAAGACACAAGUAUGUUGUGUUGUUGUAUUGCAUUGAAUUAUACUUCAUUCAAACACUUCCAGGUGUGUCCAUAUUCAUUUCAAAAACGUUUCCAAUAAAUUUUAUGUUAUUUGUAUGUUUUUCAGACAAAGAAGGGCAAGAGGAUGAAUCUGAUUACACAAUUGCAAAGACGAGGGCUGCUAGCAAUAACUGCAGCCUGAGAGGCUGGAAGGUGCGCCUCACAACUGUCGGCUUCUUUUUUGCGCUUGCUCUAGUAGGUUGGUCCUCCAUCUCCCAAAAAAAGAAGCGACACUCGUCCACAAGCGCAACAUGAGUUUGUAAUUUGACUUCAAAUGUGCUUGCUCUAGUAGCUAAGCACUCUUAACCGCUUGAGAUAUAAAAGCCCAUUGCAACUAGAUACUGAACUUCAAAUGUGUUCAACGCCAUCAAAUAUAGCAUAAAAUACAUCCAGCAUUAGGUUCCAAGCCCACUAUUGAAAAUCAUGUUCAUCCACUCUACACAUCCAUAGCAGCAAACUAACUAGGAUACCAGGUGGGGAGGAUACAAUCAUUAACAAUUUCAAAAGCUUUAAAUGCAAUCCGAAUACAUGGCAAGUAGGGGUAAGCAUGUGAACAGAAAAUCAGUGAACAUAAUCAAAUCCAAUAAGUCAAUUUUGGCCUAGAUUGAAAUGAAAAAAACAAGGAAAUGCUUUGUGUAUCGAUUUGUUUAUGAAGGAAAUAAAAGCUAUUUCAUGGAAAUAAAACCUGUGGUUACCUUUGUCUUCCUCUGCCAUUUGUCUAUCGAUUUGUUUAUGAAAGAGGCUAUUCUACAAGAUACAGCAUGACAGGUCUUAGUUGGACCAAGUAAACGGCAUGGAAAUGCUUUCUGAAGCAAGAAUCUGAACUCAAGAGCUUUGUGCCAGAGAGACUUCAGAAAAAUGAAAAAAAAAACAUAGAAUACGGGUAAGAAUAAAUAUCGAUCAGACAAUAAUCACGUAUAAAUCAUUUUUUUCAACUUUAAAGUGUGGCUUAAAAAGAAGCUUUAAACAACUAGCAAUAAUUUCAUAUUGAAAAAUAAAACCUAUUUCAUGGAUAUUACAAGAGCCAUUAUUUUGAAAAACACACCUUUUGGUUCUUCACUGCUUGACUUUUAAGAAGAUCUUCGUUCUUGUGACGAUUCAGAUUCUUUAAAAUAUCUCUGCAACGGAAUAAACAAAACCAAUCUAGGCCAAAAUUGACUUGUUCGAUUUGAUUAUGUUCACUGAUUUUUCUGUUCACAUGUUUACCCCUACUUGCCAUGUAGUUUUGGGGUGUUAGGACAUAGUGCUCUUCUCUUUACACACCAGUUUCAAUUUUAUUCUUCGUAAAUUAAGAGACCGUUUGAUAAUAAUUUCGUUUUCAGUUUAAAAAACAUAAAAAACUAAACGGAGUUUUAAAAUUUUGGCCUAAAAUUUUCACUUUUGGUUUUCAAUUUUAAAUUUUUUUCAAAUAACUGAAAACUAAAAAUAGUUACAAAAAGAAAUUUUCAGUUUUUAAUUUACAAAAAAAGUAAAAACUGAAAACUCUAAACUAUAGACUAAAAAUUAAAAAGUGAAAUCGAAAUGGGCUCUGAACAAAAUUGAAAAAAGACUGGGCUGAAUUACUGAAUUCAAAGCAGGGCUUAUUAACGUUACAAGGCCCAAUGGAUCUAUAUAAAUAUUUUUCGUUUUUUUUUUAACAAACGAUACGAUUUAUAUGGGCUUAAUCUUACAGUGGGCUAACAAUAAUGUUGUUCAAAUUUGUUUUUUGCAAGAAUCGAAUUUAAAACUUAUCACUUACAAAUGAAAAGAAAUACCACUAAACCGUAAUCUACUCGUUAUUUUAUUUUAUAUUUUAAGAAAAAAGAAAGAAAGCAAUGAAAAGCUGUACAUAAAAUAAAUACAAAAAGGGAUGAAAUGAAGAAGAGUGGGAGACUAACGUUUAAUUCAAGAUAAAGAAAGAAAGGUGAUCGCACCACGACGGCGGCGACGUGGCGGUCAUUUAACGGAAAAUAACAGACAAAUCAGCCUCCAGAUCAAGUCUUGAAGCACAACUCUGAAAAAUCGAGACUACCUACAACUGAGCUCCGACCAACCGUCGAUGGAUGCAAUCAGGAAGCUCAGAGAUCAGGUCGCCAAGCAACAGCAGGUACUCCCUCUCGUUUGAUUCCGAAUUUGUAUUUCUGUAUGGAUUUUGGUAUGAACAUAAUCUGCGUUGAUUGCGAGAUACUGAGAUUGCUUAAUGAAAUAAUAUGUAUAUAAUUGUUCGAGUUGAAUUGGAUCGAUUCGAAUUCGAAUAGAAUUUCACUAUUUCUGAGCUGUUUGGGGAUGUGUUGGAGUGCAAUGUUGAUGAAUUUCUGAAAUUUUGAGCUAGGUGUUGCUAAUUACUUAUCGAUUUUUUAUGUAAUUGGAUGCUUAAUUUUUACAUUUUCGGAAAACUUCAAGCGAAAAUGGCAUAUAAUUCAACGUUCCAUGCUUCAUUAAUGCAUAAGAGUUGGUCGAAGCUUGAUCGAGUUUGCUUUUGGUUAUUUUGUGAACACCGUCAGGCUGUGUUCAAACAAUUUUCUGGUGGCAUAUAUGGGGGAUCGGAUAAUGUUGCCUCGGAUGAAAAUGAAUUUCAACAGCAUCAGAAACUCGAGAAGCUGUACAUAUCAACUCGUGCUGCCAAGGUUGCUACUCUUAUUUUUGUCUGUGCUUUAAACGAGCAUCACGUUAGUUGUGUUACCUAUCGUUUUUUGCUUCUUCUUUAACAGCAUUACCAAAAGGAAAUUGUCCGCGGAGUGGAAGGUUACAUUGUGGCCGGCUCAAAGCACGUUGAAAUAGGUAUGUUGCUUGAAAUGCGUUGUCUUUUCUUGGGAGUUUGGAUAUGAAUUCAUGUUGGUUUUAUCAGUUGGUAUACAUAAUACUUUUUUAACAGGUACCAAGCUAUCAGAAGAUAGCAGGAAAUAUGGUUCUGAAAAGACUUGCACCAGUGGUAACACAUUGUCGAGAGCUGCACUAAGUUUUGGAAGAGCUCGGGCCCAAAUGGAAAAAGAGUGCGGAGUUCUACUUAAAGCCCUUGGCACACAGGUUUAAGUCAAAUUAUUACUAACAAUGGCUCAUUAAGUAAAAAUCAAAUAUUGCCAGGGCCGGCUUCAUACAAAUGGAAUUUCAACUGACUAAUUUUCGUGUGCAUUUGAUCAUUUCGAAAGAAAUUUACAGUAAAAAUUGUUUCCAUUUUCACGUGUGGUUCAAGAACUGGACUACUUUUUGUGUUAUUAUGCAUCAUAUGACAAACUGGUUCACCAUUUCUUUCUAUAGGUUUGCAUAAUAACUCUUUCUGUGCUUAUCAAUUUGCCUGUGUAGGUUGCAGAGCCUUUAAGAGCAAUGAUAGUGGGAGCGCCCUUGGAGGAUGCUCGACAUCUUGCUCAACGAUAUGCUAGAAUGCGGCAAGAAGCUGAAGCUCAGGUAUAUGCAGUUUCUUCUGUUUCCUACCAAUUUUAUACUAAAGUGAUUUUACAUGUUACAUGGUGAUCAUACAUUUCUCGGUUAACUUUUUUUGUUUUCUUUUAAAAGUGUUUGUUCAUUUUGGGACAAUCAUGCAUUGGUAUUCAUAGAGAACGCAAAAUCUUAAGAUGUUUAAUGUAACUUGUUGAGAUUGCUUCAUUACCUGAAGCUUUGUUGUAAUUUGGUUUUUGUUUUUUUUUUAUUAUUUGUCUAUAUAUACUAACUCGCACCGGGAUAGGCUAUAGAUGUUUCCAGACGCCAGGCCAAAGUACGGGAUUCAGCAGGUAAUGCUGACAUUAUCAUGAAACUAGAAGCUGCUGAAGCCAAGCUUCAGGAGCUGCAGUCUAGCGUUGCAAUACUGGGAAAAGAAGCUAGUGCAGCUAUGGCUGCUGUUGAAGGUCAACAACAAAGAUUGACUCUUCAGCGGCUUCUUGCGAUGGUAAAGGAUUGCCUCCCCUUUUUGUUUAAGUGUUAAGACCUUGGCCUGUUCUAGUUACAAGACUGAAAAGGAAAUUAAUUUUGUAAAUUUGUCAUUUUUCGUCCCCAUUCAAGGUGGAAGCAGAGCGCAACUAUCACCAGAACGUACUUCAGAUACUUGAUCAGCUUGAAGGCGAGGUAUGAAAUAUCCUAAAGUCUUCCUUUCAGCAAGACAAUUUCCUUUCCCAAAUCAUUUGGCUGUAAAUUAUUCUAGUGUCUUGCUACUUUAAGCAGAGAUCAUUGACACUAUUUGUUGGGACAGAUUUUGUCAGAAAAGCAGCGAAUUGAAGCAUCUCCUAGUCCACCUACAGAGGACUCUAUACCUCCACCACCAUCGUAUGAGGAUCUCAGCCGUAGCUUUGCUUCUGAAACCUAUGAUGAAUUGACAGAAUUGAGGGACUAUUUCUUAGGAGAGGUAUCUUUAUGCUAAU
RNAcentral lists this long non-coding RNA (21655 nucleotides) under Malus domestica (apple). RNAcentral's name for it is "long non-coding RNA (MDOM_LNC007218)". The record is from RNAcentral. Lineage: Eukaryota; Viridiplantae; Streptophyta; Magnoliopsida; Rosales; Rosaceae.